This is a non-coding RNA of Pluteus cervinus, 89 nucleotides long. Lineage: Eukaryota; Fungi; Basidiomycota; Agaricomycetes; Agaricales; Pluteaceae. The record is from the annotation of a GenBank genome assembly.
UCUCUGAUCGUAUAACGGUUAGUACACACGCCUGUCAAGCAAUCAUGCUACGACCGCGUGAGACCGGGGUUCGACUCCCCGUCAGAGAG